RNAcentral lists this ribosomal RNA (336 nucleotides) under uncultured bacterium. RNAcentral describes it as "bacterial SSU rRNA". It matches the Rfam family "Bacterial small subunit ribosomal RNA", at positions 8 to 334 of the family's 1533-position model. The record is from RNAcentral.
AGGGUUUGAUUAUGGCUCAGAUUGAACGCUGGCGGCGUGCUUAACACAUGCAAGUCGAACGCGAAAGGGACUUCGGUCCUGAGUAAAGUGGCGCACGGGUGAGUAACACGUGGAUAAUCUGCCCUUAUGAUCGGGAUAACAGUCGGAAACGGCUGCUAAUACCGGAUACGCUCAAAAUGAACUUUUUGAGGAAAGGUGACCUCUGCUUGCAUGUUACCGUAUAAGGAUGAGUCCGCGUCCCAUUAGCUUGUUGGUGGGGUAAAGGCCUACCAAGGCAACGAUGGGUAGCCGAUUUGAGAGGAUGAUCGGCCACACUGGGACUGAAACACGGCCCAG